AUUGAACGCUGGCGGCAGGCCUAACACAUGCAAGUCGACAUGAGUGGCGAACGGGUGAGUAAUACGUGGGUAACCUGACCUCCUUUUUGGGAUAAGCCUUGGCAACGGGGUCUAAUCCCGAAUAAAGGGGGAUGGGCUCUGGGCCUAUCAGCUUGUUGGUGGGGUGAUUGCGUACCAAGGCGGUGACGGGUAGCCGGCCUGAGAGGGUGAACGGUCACAGUGGGACUGAGAAAAGGCCCAGACGACGAAGGGAUGCAGCAGUGGGGGAUAUUGAACAAUGGGCGAACGACUGAUGCAGCGACGCUGAGUGGGGGAUGAAGGCUGUCGGGUUGUAAACCUCUUUCGGUACAGAAAGGGUAGGUGGAGAAGAAGCGCCGGCUAACUACGUGCCAGCAGCCGCGGUAAUAC
RNAcentral lists this ribosomal RNA (408 nucleotides) under uncultured bacterium. RNAcentral's name for it is "partial 16S ribosomal RNA". It matches the Rfam family "Bacterial small subunit ribosomal RNA", at positions 29 to 526 of the family's 1533-position model. The record is from RNAcentral.